RNAcentral lists this long non-coding RNA (309 nucleotides) under Rosa chinensis. Its description in RNAcentral is "sRNA RchiOBHm_Chr1g0316901". Lineage: Eukaryota; Viridiplantae; Streptophyta; Magnoliopsida; Rosales; Rosaceae. The record is from RNAcentral.
UCAACUAACUUCACCGCCAUCGCCCUUUGACACUGCCGACGGCGCCUACGACGUCGCCUAGUCCGAAUCUCACGACUCCCUCCUCAUCGCCUUCGUCAAGCUCUACAACCUCGCCCUCUCGCAGACCUCCAACCUACUCCGCUCCCACCACGAGCACACGCGUGAGGUCAGCUCCGCCGACUACAAACCCACGCGCCGCGACUCAUUGUUCACCGCCUCGUGGGACGACACCGUGAAGCUCUAGACCGUCGAACGCCCCGCCUCCAUUCGCACCUUCAAGGAGCACGCCUACUGCGUCUACUCCGCCGC